CUUAUGGAUCUCCCUGGGAAGAGGAAAUAGAUGAGAUGUUGUCUGGUUAAUUCCAAUAACAAACCAGACUCUGGCAUGCUAACUAGUUAUGCAACCCCUGAGAGGUUAGUGUCCCCCAACUUCUUAGAGGGACAAGUAGAUUUCAGCCAUCCAAGAUUGAGCAAUAACAGGUCUGAGAUGCCCUUAG
This 187-nucleotide non-coding RNA is filed under the name Cricetulus griseus (Chinese hamster). Its description in RNAcentral is "Eukaryotic small subunit ribosomal RNA". It matches the Rfam family "Eukaryotic small subunit ribosomal RNA", at positions 1305 to 1476 of the family's 1831-position model. Lineage: Eukaryota; Metazoa; Chordata; Mammalia; Rodentia; Cricetidae. The record is from Rfam by way of RNAcentral.